Molecule: long non-coding RNA, 348 nt
Filed under: Homo sapiens (human)
Lineage: Eukaryota; Metazoa; Chordata; Mammalia; Primates; Hominidae
Description: HSALNT0329328
Source: RNAcentral
CUCGGCCUCCCAAAGUGCUGGGAUUACAAGCAUGAGCCACCGUGCCCAGCCCACUACCACCUUUUUUCAUGUCUCAUUAUAUUUUCCCUGUGAUCUCAUAUUCUCCUGCGGAUCUUGACUACCUUGGCUAGUGCUCCCUGGGAUAGCAGAAUAGGCAUAGUCAUCAAGGAUAAUAGAACUGUGAUCACACUGAGUUCCUCAAGAAAAGAACUGGCUGUCUCAUCUUGGUAUUCUUGAUGCCUUGCUCAGUAGCGCCUGGCAAAACUAAAUCUCCCAGUGAAUGGUUGGUGAAGGAAUGAACAAGUGAAUAAAUGACAACCUGUGGGCCUGUUAUCCCAUCUACAAAAC